This 253-nucleotide ribosomal RNA is filed under the name uncultured bacterium. Its description in RNAcentral is "partial 16S ribosomal RNA". It matches the Rfam family "Bacterial small subunit ribosomal RNA", at positions 524 to 776 of the family's 1533-position model. The record is from RNAcentral.
UACAGAGGGUGCAAGCGUUGUUCGGAAUUACUGGGCGUAAAGGGCGCGUAGGCGGCCUGUUAAGUCGAACGUGAAAUCCCUGGGCUCAACCCAGGAACUGCGUCCGAUACUGGCAGGCUUGAAUUCGGGAGAGGGAUGUGGAAUUCCAGGUGUAGCGGUGAAAUGCGUAGAUAUCUGGAGGAACACCGGUGGCGAAGGCGGCAUCCUGGACCGAUAUUGACGCUGAGGCGCGAAAGCCAGGGGAGCAAACGGG